UUUUAUUACUGUUAAAAGUAAAGUUCUAUGCAAGAUUAUUUUUUUUUAUUAUUAUUUAACUUAAAAUUAUAUGUUCAUUUGCUUUGAAUUUCACUUCUUCUUAUAAAUAUUAUCAACGUGAAAUAUGUAUUAGCCGGUAUGAUAGACAUCCAGUGGGCAGAUUAGGACCACCAACAUAUUACUUUACAAGAUAAUUUGAAAGGAUGAAACGCCACGAUUAUUGACUCCCGGUGAAUUUUUUACACUUUAUUGUGAUGAAUUUCAAUGGUAAUUUAUACCAUCAAAUUCUAUGUAACAGUUAAUAUUAUUAUUUGAAUUUGCAACAUAAACAUUCAUCCUUGUUUGCAACAGUUGGUAUUUUGAGGAGAUUUUAUUCGACUGCAUGAGAUAUAUGACAACAAACACGAUUUCUUUAUGUAAAAUACAAGACCAGAAAUUCAAUAAACAUGGGAUUACACGCCAAACAAUAAAUUUGUUCGCAUAAAAACGCCUCAUACAAC
This 500-nucleotide long non-coding RNA is filed under the name Mytilus galloprovincialis (Mediterranean mussel). The record is from RNAcentral. Lineage: Eukaryota; Metazoa; Mollusca; Bivalvia; Mytilida; Mytilidae.